UUUAUCGGGAAAAGUAUACCAUGUUUAAACACGUAAAGCGCGUUACUUAAAUACCUCAGUUAUUAAGCCUAUUGAGCCUCUGGAGGCGAUAUCAAACCAGGGCACCAAAACUACAAGAGCUGCAGACGCCAUAAGAUUUAUUUCCACUAGCUCUCCGGGUGACGAUCAGGGUCUGUUCAGCCGUGCUUGUGAUACGAUAAAACUGCCCAGUCGAUUUGAGUAUUUCGGACAAGGUAUAUGUGGAUGACCAAAGCCGGACAACUGGGGACUACUAUCUCUAUGUGCCGUUUCGGGUUUUCCGUUUUCUCGACGGAUCCCGUGUCUCGUUUUCGUGCAAUGUCAUCAUCUGUCAGGACAACUGUCCGUCGGCUGACUGUGGUGAGUUUAUGGGAAUGUCCUACGGCAGGAAGAAAAGAGACAUUACUGACAAUUCACGAUACCAAGUUAUGUCUGUUUCCCGUGACGUCACAGUUUUAGAUGAUGUCACCAGUCGCACCGUUCAUGCUAAGACUACUUCGAUAGAGAAAUUAGAAGAUUCCAAAACCGAAACAGCCGCGCUUUCUGUACAUUUUACAUGGCUUCUAGGUGGAGCUACCAUCGCCACUACCCUUUUCUUCUCUCUCGCAUUAAAUGUUUAUUUUAUCUUCAUUGCGAAACGGAACUCAUCAGUGUCUGAGAAAACAAAUGAACACGGAAAAACAGAUUGUUGUUCAUCUCUGAAGACGCGCAAAACGGAAAUUAAUUACCCCCCGCGACGUACACAAAGGCCCUUGUUUGACUAAACCUAAAUUAUUUCGAAUGAUGUUAUUUCUAUUAAAAGGGAAAAAAUAUGUUUUGGGGAAAUUGUGGGGUAAGUAAGGGUAACUUCAUAUAUUUUAUCUAAUGGGUGAUGCGGCAUCCUUCAACUUUUGGUUUGUGCUUAUAUUUUGUUGUUGUUGUUCGUGGUAUUUUACUUUAUAUCUUCAUUCUUUACGUAAACGUCAUCGUUUUAGGCUUAACCAAUUUUUUACUUAACGAACGAGUUUAAGACUAAAUAAAAGGAAAUAAAAAACAGGUCACGACCGUGAUAAAGUACUUUUUACAUCUGUUAGUAUAUGUUAAGUAAUACUAAGUGCUUCAUUUCAAAGUUAUUUAAUUCUUUGUUGUUGUUGUUGUUUGCUCAUUGUUUAAAAUAUGUUCCUAAUUACUAAUAAAGCUUGCUUUC
This 1204-nucleotide unclassified non-coding RNA is filed under the name Limulus polyphemus (Atlantic horseshoe crab). Its description in RNAcentral is "uncharacterized LOC106473942, transcript variant X2". Lineage: Eukaryota; Metazoa; Arthropoda; Merostomata; Xiphosura; Limulidae. The record is from RNAcentral.